UUCUAUUAACCUUUCCAGAACCACAUAAAUUGCCUUCAAUUAGUUGUCAUUCUAAUUAGAGUCACACAGAGAAGCCUUUGUUUAUUCUGGGCGGCUGUUCCUUUUUCCCCUCUGGAGCAGGUCCUCCUGAAGAAGUGGCCGUUUGGAAAAUUGCUGUUUUGACGUGUGUGAGCUCCCUUCGUCACAAACAUGGAGAGGCUGGAGCUGGAGGAAGUGGCCUCGAAUGUGAUCGCAGGGCUGGCCUCCGUGUCGGCUGUCGCCAGCUGGAUUCUGAGGUGCAGGUGGCCGUGCGGAGGGGUGGAGCUGAGCCUCAUCCUGAGUGUCUGCAGUGUCCGUCUCCUGCAAGCCAGCACUCCGAGGCUCCUGGUUAGUAGUCACCUCCAAAGGUGGGUAGGACUGUGCAAUAAGGCUAUGAGUUCCCCCUCUAGGGGUUUACCUGUACCUUGUCAUCUAGCAUAUUUUCCUGUUUGUUUUCCAGGCUGAACAUGGAUGAGACGUGUUACAACCCAGGCAGACUGUAAGCUAAUGCAGGAUUCCACAAGGGGGCAGCUGCAGACCCCUGGAACCUGAGAGGUGAAGGUAGGCUCGUCUGUUGACUAGCUGUGGACAAAGCCAGCAGCACUAACCUUCCCCUUCGCUUGUAUAUCUUUGGAACUCUGGUAUCGGCUGGUCUUUGCAAAGCUACAAGCUUGGAGGCCCCUUGGUGUCGUCUGACAUUUGGGUAGACGGUGUUGAAAACAGGUGUGUUACUGAAUGAGGUGUGCUUGUCGCCACGGCACACCAGGAGCAAUCUGUGACUCUGGUCUUUAGGGAGGAGAGAGGUUUGAUUUGCAUUGCUUACCAGCAGGGAGGCAGAUAGGAACCAAGUUUGUUUCCCCAACUAGUCUUGGCAAGGAGUUGUUAGAGCAUGUUUGCAUGAAAGAGGGAAGGAGUGCCCGUGCUGGUUGGCUUUGAAGUUCCUCUUCCGUUUGAGUGUAUCUGAGGAGACUGGGCACCCACCCCUCACUUGGAAGUAUCUUCCUCUCGGUGCUGGAUUCUUUGCUUCUGCUGAACCCGAAGGCUUAGCUCCUGGCUCACCUGGGGUCCUGCAACGAUGAGUUGGACAGCUUGUGUUUAAGUCCUUGAGUAACUUUCCUUGGAAAAUAGCAGCUUUUAAAAGAUGUGAUCAGAAUGUGGCUCAAUCUGUUGUUGCAGAAUACAUUAGGGGGAUUUCCGGAAGGAACUGGGAAGCCUCGUAGGAUGCCUCUGAGUUUUGGGGUUGUUAAGAGGAGAGCUGACUCUGCCUGAGCAGACAGAUGUGCUUCAGCCUUGCAUCUGGGAGCAGCAGCCUGACCUGGCUUCCCCGUGUUACCAGCCCGCCCAGCUGCUUCAGAGUCACUUCCUGAAGUCUGGCUGCAUCCUUAGCUGUCCUCGUUUCCCAGCUUCUGGUUGUCAAUGCUCCUCUUACGGCUUCCUUUUGGCUAGCACAUGUGCCAUUUGUCCAUUCCCCGGGGCUUGGCCAUGAGAGGACCUCAAGUGACCUGAGUGCAGGACCCUUUCUCCCUGUUGGACUCGGACAUACACCUGGUUCUGUCAGCAUUCAUCCUGCAGUCACUGUGUCAGAUUCCACACUGGGCAAUAGGAACCCAGAGAAAGAACGCUCUAGAGGCGUGCCUGGGCCCCAGCGAGGGGAGGGGGCACGACGGCAAGGAAGAUCUCAGAGUGCCACCACUGAGGCUGCCCGCUGGCUAGGUAGGUGAGUGGUGGCAGGGAACAAAGAGAAG
This is a long non-coding RNA of Ochotona curzoniae (black-lipped pika), 1763 nucleotides long. RefSeq lists it as uncharacterized. NCBI's taxonomy places the organism in Eukaryota, Metazoa, Chordata, Mammalia, Lagomorpha, Ochotonidae. The transcript has 2 exons. The record is from RefSeq and is a predicted model, not a curated record.